This 550-nucleotide ribosomal RNA is filed under the name uncultured bacterium. Its description in RNAcentral is "bacterial SSU rRNA". It matches the Rfam family "Bacterial small subunit ribosomal RNA", at positions 355 to 896 of the family's 1533-position model. The record is from RNAcentral.
UAGGGANUCUUCGGCAAUGGGGGGAACCCUGACCGAGCAACGCCGCGUGAGUGAAGAAGGUUUUCGGAUCGUAAAGCUCUGUUGUUAAGGAAGAACGAGUGUGAGAAUGGAAAGUUCAUGCUGUGACGGUACUUAACCAGAAAGGGACGGCUAACUACGUGCCAGCAGCCGCGGUAAUACGUAGGUCCCGAGCGUUGUCCGGAUUUAUUGGGCGUAAAGCGAGCGCAGGCGGUUAGAAAAGUCUGAAGUGAAAGGCAGUGGCUCAACCAUUGUAGGCUUUGGAAACUGUUUAACUUGAGUGCAGAAGGGGAGAGUGGAAUUCCAUGUGUAGCGGUGAAAUGCGUAGAUAUAUGGAGGAACACCGGUGGCGAAAGCGGCUCUCUGGUCUGUAACUGACGCUGAGGCUCGAAAGCGUGGGGAGCGAACAGGAUUAGAUACCCUGGUAGUCCACGCCGUAAACGAUGAGUGCUAGGUGUUAGGUCCUUUCCGGGACUUAGUGCCGCAGCUAACGCAUUAAGCACUCCGCCUGGGGAGUACGACCGCAAGGUUG